AAGCGUAUGAAGAAUUUAUGGAUUCCCCUUCACUUAAUUAUAAGUGAUAAAUCCGACUCUGACGCU
RNAcentral lists this small nucleolar RNA (66 nucleotides) under Marchantia polymorpha subsp. ruderalis. RNAcentral's name for it is "Small nucleolar RNA snoR60". It matches the Rfam family "Small nucleolar RNA snoR60". Rfam says of the family: snoR60 is a member of the C/D class of snoRNA which contain the C (UGAUGA) and D (CUGA) box motifs. Most of the members of the box C/D family function in directing site-specific 2'-O-methylation of substrate RNAs. The record is from Rfam by way of RNAcentral. Lineage: Eukaryota; Viridiplantae; Streptophyta; Marchantiopsida; Marchantiales; Marchantiaceae.